Molecule: ribosomal RNA, 490 nt
Filed under: uncultured bacterium
Lineage: Bacteria
Description: partial 16S ribosomal RNA
Rfam family: Bacterial small subunit ribosomal RNA
Source: RNAcentral
GAUGAACGCUAGCUGCAGGCUUAACACAUGCAAGUCGCGCGGCAGCACGGUGGUUGCUUGCUCUCCCCGAUGGCGACCGGCGCACGGGUGAGUAACGCGUAUUCAACCUGCCUUUCACCACGGGUUAAGCCGGCGAACGUCGGACUAAAACCGUAUGGUGUCCCUUGACGGCGUCCGGGAUCGUCGGAACGCUUGGGGGUGAGGGAGGGGGUUGCGUCAGAUUUGCUAGGCGGGGGGGUGACGGCCCACCGUGGCUACGAUCGGUAGGGGUUCGGAGAGGAAGGUCCCCCAGACUGGAACUGAGACACGGUCCAGACUGCGACGGGAGGGAGCAGUGAGGAAGAUAGGGGACUGGGCGUAAGCCUGAACCAGCCAAGUAGGGUGCAGGAGGACGGCGCUAGGGGUUGUAAACUGCUGUUAGGCGGGGAUAAAGGGGCACAAGUGUGGGCUUUUGAAGGUACCGCAUGAAUAAGGACCGGCUAACUCCGUG